Molecule: long non-coding RNA, 619 nt
Filed under: Nicotiana benthamiana
Lineage: Eukaryota; Viridiplantae; Streptophyta; Magnoliopsida; Solanales; Solanaceae
Description: long non-coding RNA (NBEN_LNC027116)
Source: RNAcentral
AGAAAGGUCUAUUUAAUUAGCGACGUCGUAAACAUAACAUCCAUUAAAUAAAUAGUGGUAGCAAACUAAAGAAGGAAAUUUACCAUGUAAUGAGAACAUGAAAUUGACCCAUAUUAUUGGGCACAUUGACGUGAAUAAUGUCCAAGAAACAUACCAUUGAUAGUUAUCACCUUAAUGAGGAAAAUUUCCCUUUUACAAUAAUCAGAAAUUUCCAACGUGAAAUUUCAGUGAAGAACAGAACCAGCGAUCCACGACCGGAAAACUCGAUACGGCGGCCUCACAAACCAGACUCAAGUGACUCGAACGGAAAAGCGACAGCACUGGGACUUCGCUAGCGACGGAAGCGCGACAGACAAACGGGAGAGGAAGCUGCGUUCUGGUUGUUGUUGCUCAGCUAGAGCUCGUUAAUCCGGCGAGCUGCUAGAGCUCAUUUUCCGGCUAGCUGCUUGAGAAAGAAGACGAAAUGAACAGCAGCUGCUCUCGAUGGGUGAUUAGCGGCUGACCUCUCUUUGUCCUUUUUAGUUAGGAAUUAGGAAUUCUUUAUUGUUCAAGAAAAAAGAACAGCUGCCGUUUUCAUGGGGUCCAGGGUGUAGGAACUUUUCUUAGCUUUUUUAUGAAU